GAUAGAUCAGUAAACAUGGGCAUAAUUAUGGGUGAUUAUUCAGACUAGUGCACACAUUUUACAGUUCAAAUAAGGCAAUGCCGAGCGUGGCAUCCCCUCGUAUGUAACAUAUUGGGGACAAAUAUGGACACUAUAGUUGUAUAUGACACAUGUAGAAAAUGGUAAAUUGAAUAUGCAUAUUUGAUACAUAAACUAUUUUUUUUUUUAAAUCAACCAAAGCAUUCAGUAACUGGAAAUACAUUUAAUAUUGUCUUUAGAACCAGCAGGUAAAAAAAUGAGCAACCAAUUUCCUGUGUAUUAUGCUAUUUCAAGGAGAAAAAACAAGUCCAUCUGCAUGACCUUGACCUUUGGCCUUGAACGUAAAAAAUGUCAGAUCAUUACAAGGAGGAACAAUAUACCAAAUGUGGUUAAAAUCUUUUGAAGCAUAUUAGUUUUAGAGUGUCCACAAGGGUGAUAUUGCCUUGUAUUACAACUGCCACUGUGACUUUGACCUUUGAACUUUAAAGUCAAUAGCGCUUAAGAUAUUCUUAACGAGUAACACCAUACCAAGUUUUGAGCAUUUUGGUUCUAGAGUGUCAAUAACAAUUUUAUCUACACGCAACUUACAUGUAGUAGGCGAGGG
RNAcentral lists this long non-coding RNA (622 nucleotides) under Mytilus galloprovincialis (Mediterranean mussel). The record is from RNAcentral. Lineage: Eukaryota; Metazoa; Mollusca; Bivalvia; Mytilida; Mytilidae.